RNAcentral lists this long non-coding RNA (345 nucleotides) under Vulpes vulpes (red fox). RNAcentral describes it as "lncRNA (ENSVVUG00000018971.1)". The record is from RNAcentral. Lineage: Eukaryota; Metazoa; Chordata; Mammalia; Carnivora; Canidae.
UUAAUCUUGGCUGGUUUCCUUCUUUUCUUUUUGGCCUUCCAGGCACCUGUGGACGUCCUGUACAUACACAAUGACAUCAAACCGUAGCUGGAAAUCUGAUUCUCUUGGUAUAAUGAACAAUGAUUAGUUAGAAGCAUGUAAAACCACAAACUGAUAUCUAAAGUGUCCAGGUACUUAAAAUCACCAAUUGGACUGAACAGAUGUACCUCAGGAAUUAAAAAUUUUUCCAGAGGGAGUUGCCUAAUAGGGCACCCAUAAAGGAGGAAAAAUUCACAAAAUGCAUUCCUUGGAUACUGAUUAAAAUCUGUUCCAAAUCUAUGAAGGCUGAAGACAUACAUAGUGGUA